RNAcentral lists this ribosomal RNA (253 nucleotides) under uncultured bacterium. RNAcentral's name for it is "partial 16S ribosomal RNA". It matches the Rfam family "Bacterial small subunit ribosomal RNA", at positions 524 to 776 of the family's 1533-position model. The record is from RNAcentral.
UACGUAGGCAGCGAGCGUUGUUCGGAAUUACUGGGCGUAAAGAGUGUGUAGGCGGUGUUCCAAGUCUGGUGUGAAAUCUCCCGGCUUAACUGGGAGGGUGCGCCGGAAACUGGAAUGCUCGAGGGUGGGAGAGGUAAGCGGAAUUCCUGGUGUAGCGGUGAAAUGCGCAGAUAUCAGGAAGAACACCCGUGGCGAAGGCGGCUCUCUGGGACGGUACUGACGCUGAGACGCGAAAGCGUGGGGAGCGAACAGG